GUUUUAAUAGUUUAAAUAAAACACCGGUCUUGUAAAUCGGAAUUGAAGAUAAAUUCUUCUUAAAGCA
RNAcentral lists this transfer RNA (67 nucleotides) under Hymenopenaeus neptunus. Its description in RNAcentral is "tRNA-Thr". It matches the Rfam family "tRNA". Rfam says of the family: Transfer RNA (tRNA) molecules are approximately 80 nucleotides in length. The record is from RNAcentral. Lineage: Eukaryota; Metazoa; Arthropoda; Malacostraca; Decapoda; Solenoceridae.